CCUACGGGAGGCAGCAGUGGGGAAUAUUGGACAAUGGGCGAAAGCCUGAUCCAGCAAUUCCGCGUGUGUGAAGAAGGCCUUCGGGUUGUAAAGCACUUUAGUGGGGGAAGAAACAGCUUGGCCACACCAAGCCUUGACGGUACCCCAAGAAUAAGCACCGGCUAACUCUGUGCCAGCAGCCGCGGUAAUACAGAGGGUGCAAGCGUUAAUCGGAUUUACUGGGCGUAAAGGGUGCGUAGGUGGCUAUUUAAGUCGGAUGUGAAAGCCCGGGGCUCAACCUCGGAAUUGCAUUCGAUACUGAGUGGCUAGAGUUCGGUAGAGGGCGGCGGAAUUUCCGGUGUAGCGGUGAAAUGCGUAGAUAUCGGAAGGAACAUCAAUGGCGAAGGCAGCCGCCUGGGCCUGGACUGACACUGAGGCACGAAAGCGUGGGUAGCAAACAGGAUUAGAUACCCUGGUAGUCCACGCCGUAAACGAUGAGAACUUGACGUUGGUUCGUUUUACGAAUCGGUGUCGCAGCUACGACGAUAAGUUACUCCGUCCGUCGGGUAGGUAGUGGCCGCCGAGGUUAGGUAACGUACAAUAGAAGUUAGACGGCGUGAGACGUGCCGAACGGACGACGACGAGGGAGGUAGG
Molecule: ribosomal RNA, 633 nt
Filed under: uncultured bacterium
Lineage: Bacteria
Description: bacterial SSU rRNA
Rfam family: Bacterial small subunit ribosomal RNA (bases 1-539)
Source: RNAcentral